RNAcentral lists this ribosomal RNA (1352 nucleotides) under Lactiplantibacillus plantarum. Its description in RNAcentral is "bacterial SSU rRNA". It matches the Rfam family "Bacterial small subunit ribosomal RNA", at positions 38 to 1358 of the family's 1533-position model. The record is from RNAcentral. Lineage: Bacteria; Bacillati; Bacillota; Bacilli; Lactobacillales; Lactobacillaceae.
GGCGCGUGCCUAUACAUGCAAGUCGAACGAACUCUGGUAUUGAUUGGUGCUUGCAUCAUGAUUUACAUUUGAGUGAGUGGCGAACUGGUGAGUAACACGUGGGAAACCUGCCCAGAAGCGGGGGAUAACACCUGGAAACAGAUGCUAAUACCGCAUAACAACUUGGACCGCAUGGUCCGAGCUUGAAAGAUGGCUUCGGCUAUCACUUUUGGAUGGUCCCGCGGCGUAUUAGCUAGAUGGUGGGGUAACGGCUCACCAUGGCAAUGAUACGUAGCCGACCUGAGAGGGUAAUCGGCCACAUUGGGACUGAGACACGGCCCAAACUCCUACGGGAGGCAGCAGUAGGGAAUCUUCCACAAUGGACGAAAGUCUGAUGGAGCAACGCCGCGUGAGUGAAGAAGGGUUUCGGCUCGUAAAACUCUGUUGUUAAAGAAGAACAUAUCUGAGAGUAACUGUUCAGGUAUUGACGGUAUUUAACCAGAAAGCCACGGCUAACUACGUGCCAGCAGCCGCGGUAAUACGUAGGUGGCAAGCGUUGUCCGGAUUUAUUGGGCGUAAAGCGAGCGCAGGCGGUUUUUUAAGUCUGAUGUGAAAGCCUUCGGCUCAACCGAAGAAGUGCAUCGGAAACUGGGAAACUUGAGUGCAGAAGAGGACAGUGGAACUCCAUGUGUAGCGGUGAAAUGCGUAGAUAUAUGGAAGAACACCAGUGGCGAAGGCGGCUGUCUGGUCUGUAACUGACGCUGAGGCUCGAAAGUAUGGGUAGCAAACAGGAUUAGAUACCCUGGUAGUCCAUACCGUAAACGAUGAAUGCUAAGUGUUGGAGGGUUUCCGCCCUUCAGUGCUGCAGCUAACGCAUUAAGCAUUCCGCCUGGGGAGUACGGCCGCAAGGCUGAAACUCAAAGGAAUUGACGGGGGCCCGCACAAGCGGUGGAGCAUGUGGUUUAAUUCGAAGCUACGCGAAGAACCUUACCAGGUCUUGACAUACUAUGCAAAUCUAAGAGAUUAGACGUUCCCUUCGGGGACAUGGAUACAGGUGGUGCAUGGUUGUCGUCAGCUCGUGUCGUGAGAUGUUGGGUUAAGUCCCGCAACGAGCGCAACCCUUAUUAUCAGUUGCCAGCAUUAAGUUGGGCACUCUGGUGAGACUGCCGGUGACAAACCGGAGGAAGGUGGGGAUGACGUCAAAUCAUCAUGCCCCUUAUGACCUGGGCUACACACGUGCUACAAUGGAUGGUACAACGAGUUGCGAACUCGCGAGAGUAAGCUAAUCUCUUAAAGCCAUUCUCAGUUCGGAUUGUAGGCUGCAACUCGCCUACAUGAAGUCGGAAUCGCUAGUAAUCGCGGAUCAGCAGCCU